This is an RNA transcript of Carassius carassius (crucian carp), 2952 nucleotides long. It is a transcript of the gene named tetratricopeptide repeat protein 39A, with no coding region annotated. The record is from RefSeq and is a predicted model, not a curated record. The transcript has 17 exons. NCBI's taxonomy places the organism in Eukaryota, Metazoa, Chordata, Actinopteri, Cypriniformes, Cyprinidae.
AGAAGUCCGUGUUCUCACACACACACACACACACACACUCGUGAUUGAGCUGAACACAGAUCAACAUUCCCUGCCAGCUCGAGUUCUCCAGCAGUCCUCAUCCAUGCAGCAUCAUCUUCACGUGCAGUGAGAGUGACUUUCCACAGGAGCGCUGAGAGAAAGCUCUUCACAGGGAGAGCAGGUGUGUGUGUGUGUGUGUGGCUGGCCACAAGGCCCAGAAGAGGUCAACCAAAUACACCAUGUCCACUGGGAAAAAUGCACCUGCUACAACAAACUCCAGACAGAUGUCCCUACAGGCCUGUCUCGAUGAAUGCAUGGAGGCCUUGGAUCUGUUUCUCAACAACCACUUCAAUGAGAGUUUGGACAAACUACGGCCACGGUGAGAGGAGUCUUUCUGUCUUCACCAGUUUCUCCUCCCCUCCAGUAUCUGUGGCUAAGGAGAGCAUGUAUCACGCUCUGAUCUAUGCCACAGUGUUAGAGAUGCAGGCCAUGAUGACCUUCCAACAAGACGACAUAGUGCAUGCUGGGAACACGAUGAAGAGGGCUCAGGAGGUGUGCCAGAGGUUCCGUAGGAAGUCUGGUGGUCUUGGGAGCCGAGGAGCAAAUGAUGAUCUUUCAGAAGAGCAGCUCCAUGCUGAAGUGUGUUACGCCGAGUGUUUACUGCACCGAGCCGCUCUCACAUUCUUACAGGAUGAGAAUAUGGUUAGUUUUAUUAAAGGAGGAAUCAAAAUACGGAACAGUUACCUCAUAUACAAGGAGCUAAGCGCAUUCGUCCAAUCAGACACCUCUUUCAAAGGACCGAACCACAAGCAUUUAGAGGGCGGAGUCUCUUUUGGGAUUGGGGCUUUCAAUUUGACUCUUUCACUGUUUCCUGCCCGGAUACUCAAACUGCUAGAGUUUGCUGGCUUUUCUGGAGAUAAGGAAUUUGGCAUCUCUCAGCUGUACACGGGUGCCACCUCUCAUACCCUGCGCUCCAUGCUGUGCGCCCUCCUCCUGCUUUGUUUCUACACAUUCCUCUCCUUUAUUUUAGGUACUGGAGAGGGGGAGGUGGAAGAGGCAGAGCGACUAUUGAAGCCAUUUCGACUGCGAUACCCACGUGGAGCGAUUUUCCUCUUCUUUGCAGGUCGAGCUGAAGAAAUAAAGGGUAACAUUGAUGAGGCGGUGGCGCUGUUUGAGGACGGCUGUAAGUCCCAACAGGCCUGGAAACAGUUUCAUCACAUGUGCUACUGGGAGCUGAUGUGGUGCUUCACAUUUAAGAAGCACUGGAAGAUGGCGUAUUUCUACGCAGACCUGCUCAGCCAGGAGAGCCGCUGGUCUAAGGCCAUGUACGUGUACAUGAAGGCAGCUUAUCUCAGCAUGCUUCCAGACACAGAAUCCCGGCCGUUUGGGGAUAAUGAAGUGGAUCUCUUUAGACAGGUACCAACAUACAGACAGAAGAUAGCAGGUAAAUCUCCACCCACAGAGAAGUUUGCCAUUCGUAAAGCGAGACGGUACAAAGCUAGCAAUCCAAUCAGACUUCCUGUGCCUGUUCUUGAGAUGAUGUACAUGUGGAAUGGUUUCUCCAUGAUCAGCAAACAGCCCGAGCUGACGGAGGGCAUGAUGGAGACGCUGGUAGAAGCAGAGCGCACCCUUCAGGCAGCUCCAGAGAAUGAGUACUCUGUGGACGACACGUGUGUGAUCCUGCUUCUGAAAGGCCUGUGUCUGAAGAACCAAGGCCAGACGCAGGCGGCAGAGGACUGUUUCAGACAGGUUUACAGCAGGCCAGUGCUUUUGUGUUACUGGAUUUGCCUUCACAAAUGCUUGUUCUGUCUCAGGAUGGUGUUUUUGAGAUGCUUUGUGUCGCUAACAGUGAAAAGAAGGUGAAAUUUGAUCAUUACCUGGUUCCUAAUGCUCUGCUAGAGAUGAGUCUGCUGUACAUCGACACGGGGAGGAAAGAGCAAGCCAUCCAUCUACUGCAGAAAGCCAAGAAAAACUACAAGGAGUACUCAAUGGAGUCUCGUACACAGUUCAGGGUCCACGCGGCGCUCACUAAACUUAAAGCUGACACCAAUGACCAAGAUGAAAUAACAACAUUGUAAGGAAAGAUGAUCCUGAGUCAAUGGCGUCUUUUCUCUGAGGACCAGACAGAGUUGGGAGAACGAAAGACCAAAGACACGGUGUAGUUUUUAUGCAUUGGUACUACCCAAUGUUAACCCGUCUCAUUUUUUUUUGGACGGUAUUAUGGGAAACACUAAAAACUUCAUUUGUACGUUCUCCUCCAGGAGGUUAGGUGCCAAAUUGAUGUUUAUUUUAGUCAGAUAAAAAAUAGAUGAAUGAAUAUUUGAAAUGUAAACCAGGGUUUAAGCUCCUUAAAAUGUAUUCAAAUGUACAUUUUAGGAAGCAUUAGAAAUCAAAUGAAUAUUUUUCUGUAAGUCCUGUACAGGUUUAAUAAGGGAAAUGACACUGUUUACAUAAAUUAAUUUAGACAAGCCAUUUUACACUUAGUUGUAAUGAUGAUUAAACAUGUUGAUUAUUGUAAGGCUGAGUAUGGGAUUUGAAUACUUUAUUAUUGAUUACUAUACUCCUUUCUUGAAUACAUCAAGAACGUUUAUAAUAAUCAAAUGCUUCAAAUAGCAUCAGUAAUAUUCAGCUGUCAAAUGCUAUGGUUAUUUUUUGAUAAUACAUUUUAUUAGUAGUUAAUAUUUAAUCAAUUAUUGAUGUUAAAAUAUUUUUGAAAUGUAUAAUUUCUGUAUAAUUAUAUAGUAAAUUAAGUCGUUCAAUCAAUGCAAUUAUUAGCAAUAAAUGCUCUGGGUUACUGUAUUAAUAAAUCAGUUUUGCAUGACAAAUUAUAACCAUCUGCUUUUUCAUGCAUAAGCUUAAUUGUUCUUAAAACAUUUGCUUUUUUUGCUUAAUGUAGAACGCUUCAGAAUUUUUAACGAGGAAUUAUUAUAUGCAUGUAUGAAUUAUAUAUGA